RNAcentral lists this long non-coding RNA (1282 nucleotides) under Capsicum annuum. RNAcentral's name for it is "long non-coding RNA (CANN_LNC000226)". The record is from RNAcentral. Lineage: Eukaryota; Viridiplantae; Streptophyta; Magnoliopsida; Solanales; Solanaceae.
UCUUCACGUGUCCGAACCAUCUCAAUCGUGCUUCCCGCAUCUUGCACUCCACUGAAGUCACACCAACCUUCUCCCGGAUAGUCUCAUUCCGAACUCUAUCCCCUCUAGUCAGUCCACACAUCCAGCGCAACAUCCGCAUUUCUGCCACCUUCAUUUUUUGGAUGUGGGAGUUCUUAACUGGCCAACACUCCGCUCCAUACAGCAAGGCCGGACGGAUUACCACCCUGUAGAAUUUGCCUUUAAGCUUGGGCGGCACCUUCUUAUCACACAGUACCCCCGACACGAGUUUCCACUUCAUCCAUCCCGCCCCAAUACGGUGCGAGACAUCCUCGUCAAUCUCACCGUUACUCUAGAUCACGGACCCAAAUCAAACACAUAUGAUGAAAUAAAAUAAGAAGAGAUAAAGCUGGACCUUCCGAUAAUGAAUUUUGUUGAUAAUAACGAAUUUAAAAGAAAUCCAAACUCGAAACCCCAAAUAGAAAGCCUCGACAACGAACUAAACUCCAACUCAAUAUCGAGAAAUAAAUCCAAACUCGAAACCCCAAAUAGAAAGCCUCGACAACGAACCAAACUCCAACUCAAUAUCGAGAAAUAACGAUCCGGACAGAUUUGAAUCCUAAGAAAGAAGAAAUAGCAAGCAACUCGAGACCGAAAUUAUGAAAAAUCAAGGAAAACUGUAUCCGAGAUCUCGCCGAAAUUGGCUAAUUUUGGUCGUUGGUCCGUAUUUUCGCAGCGAGAGAGACGAUUUUUAGGAUCGACGGGGCCUAAAUCCGUCGGAAAGCCACUGGUUCCAGCGAGAUUAGCUAUUCUCGACUAGAUUCGCCCCAAAUCAAGAGAAAACCAAGAGAUUCCGGCGAAGCAGUUGCCAGAACAGUGACCAAACGCACAAAACUCAUUUUCUCCCUCGAUUCUCACUUCAUCUCAAGUCAUUUUCACUUAUUUUUCUUAAUUGUUUUCACUGUAUGUGUCGUGGGUGUCUUUUUCCUUUUUCCUCCGUCUCCCUUGUGCUUAUAUUUUGUGUCCCUCUGUUCGAUUUUUAUGGAGUCUCUCUUAUCCGCGUGAGUGGGUUUCCAGUGAAUCCCCUGGUGAGUGUGUGCGUGAAUGAUGGUGAAGAAACCCCCCCCCCCAAGUGAGAUCUGUGUAUAUGUAUAUGGGGAGUGAGUGAUGUGUGUAGAGUGUGAGAGUGAUGAGUGGGUGUGUUUUCUUGGUAUGUUGUGUGUGCAGAGUCUAUCUGUGUGUGAUAUGUGUUAAUCCAUGGAGAAAAAUUGAAGUUUGUUUUUUC